Molecule: ribosomal RNA, 253 nt
Filed under: uncultured bacterium
Lineage: Bacteria
Description: partial 16S ribosomal RNA
Rfam family: Bacterial small subunit ribosomal RNA
Source: RNAcentral
UACAGAGGGUGCAAACGUUGUUCGGAUUUACUGGGCGUAAAGCGCGUGUAGGCGGCUUUUCAAGUCGGAUGUGAAAGCCCGGGGCUCAACCCCGGAAGUGCAUUCGAUACUGGAAGGCUGGAGUCUCGGAGAGGCGGGUGGAACUCUCGGUGUAGAGGUGAAAUUCGUAGAUAUCGAGAAGAACACCGGUGGCGAAGGCGGCCCGCUGGACGAUGACUGACGCUGAGACGCGAAAGCGUGGGGAGCAAACAGG